Molecule: transfer-messenger RNA, 357 nt
Filed under: Treponema sp.
Lineage: Bacteria; Pseudomonadati; Spirochaetota; Spirochaetia; Treponematales; Treponemataceae
Also listed under: 1 other name
Rfam family: transfer-messenger RNA
About the family: Bacterial tmRNA, also known as 10Sa RNA or SsrA, is named for its dual tRNA and mRNA-like properties. Its role is to liberate the mRNA from a stalled ribosome.
Source: RNAcentral
GGGGGUGCACCGGUUUCGACGAUUAAGAUAAUGCUUUUACUGCAGGUAGGAUUUUCUGCAUGUUCCUUAAACAGGCAGAAAAAAAUUAACUGGCGAAUCUAAUUCACAGUUUGCUCUCGCUGCGUAAGCAGAGCACGGUAAUCUGACUGCACGGUCUUGAGCCGUCAGAAUUACUGUCACCAAACCAAGACUUGCUGCAUAUCGUGUCUGAUCUUUAUGCGGGACUUUUAAUCAGAAUACGGAGACGACGCUUGUGGUGCUGCUACCGUCUCCCGACAACUACCUCGCACCGAUAAACCUGUAGAUGUAACUGUGUUGCUUUUUCGGACGGGGGUUCAAUUCCCCCCAUCUCCAUAA